RNAcentral lists this ribosomal RNA (521 nucleotides) under Crangonyx serratus. RNAcentral's name for it is "partial 16S ribosomal RNA". It matches the Rfam family "Bacterial large subunit ribosomal RNA", at positions 1797 to 2618 of the family's 2925-position model. The record is from RNAcentral. Lineage: Eukaryota; Metazoa; Arthropoda; Malacostraca; Amphipoda; Crangonyctidae.
CGCCUGGUUAUCAAAAACAUUUCUUUUCGUAGGCUGUGAGGUAUUGCCUGCCCAGUGAUUUAGUUAAACGGCUGCGGUUUUAUAAUUGUACUAAGGUAGCGUUAUAAUUUGUCUUUUAAUUGAAGACUUGAAUGAAUGGUAAGACCUUAACUUAAUUUCUUUUGAUAAAAAAUUGAAUUUGAAUUUUAAGUGAUAAUGCUUAAAUGUAUUAGUGGGGCGAUAAGACCCUAAAAGCUUGAUGUUUGAUUUAGUCUUUAAUAAUAGGUUAAUAAUAAUAUUUUGCUGGGGCAGCAAUUUUAAUAAAAUUAAUAGUUAGAGUUACUGAGAAGGUAUAAAGGUCCUUUAGAUAAGGAAAUAUGGGGUAAGUUACUUUAGGGAUAACAGCGUAAUAAAUUUGAAGAGACCAUAUUGAUGAAUUUGAUUGCGACCUCGAUGUUGAAUUAAGGUUUCUUUAUGUAGUAAAAGAUAUAUAAGAGGGUUUGUUCAACCUUUAAAUCCUUACAUGAUCUGAGUUCAACCCC